GAGUUUGAUCAUGGCUCAGGACGAACGCUGGCGGCGUGCUUAACACAUGCAAGUCGAACGAUGAAGGGGAGCUUGCUCCUUGGAUUAGUGGCGAACGGGUGAGUAACACGUGAGUAACCUGCCCUGGACUCUGGGAUAACCCCGAGAAAUCGGAGCUAAUACCGGAUAGGACCUUGGAUCGCAUGAUCUGGGGUGGAAAGUUUUUCGGUCUGGGAUGGACUCGCGGCCUAUCAGCUUGUUGGUGAGGUAAUGGCUCACCAAGGCGUNGACGGGUAGCCGGCCUGAGAGGGUGACCGGCCACACUGGGACUGAGACACGGCCCAGACUCCUACGGGAGGCAGCAGUGGGGAAUAUUGCACAAUGGGCGCAAGCCUGAUGCAGCAACGCCGCGUGCGGGAUGACGGCCUUCGGGUUGUAAACCGCUUUUAGUAAGGAAGAAGGGGAGCUUGCUCCUUGACG
Molecule: ribosomal RNA, 459 nt
Filed under: rhizosphere soil bacterium RSI-27
Lineage: Bacteria
Description: bacterial SSU rRNA
Rfam family: Bacterial small subunit ribosomal RNA
Source: RNAcentral